AUUGAACGCUGGCGGCAGGCCUAACACAUGCAAGUCGAGCGGAUGAAGGGAGCUUGCUCCUGGAUUCAGCGGCGGACGGGUGAGUAAUGCCUAGGAAUCUGCCUGGUAGUGGGGGAUAGCGUCCGGAAACGGGCGCUAAUACCGCAUACGUCCUGAGGGAGAAAGUGGGGGAUCUUCGGACCUCACGCUAUCAGAUGAGCCUAGGUCGGAUUAGCUAGUUGGUGGGGUAAAGGCCUACCAAGGCGACGAUCCGUAACUGGUCUGAGAGGAUGAUCAGGCACACUGGAACUGAGACACGGUCCAGACUCCUACGGGAGGCAGCAGUGGGGAAUAUUGGACAAUGGGCGAAAGCCUGAUCCAGCCAUGCCGCGUGUGUGAAGAAGGUCUUCGGAUUGUAAAGCACUUUAAGUUGGGAGGAAGGGCAGUAAGUUAAUACCUUGCUGUUUUGACGUUACCAACAGAAUAAGCACCGGCUAACUUCGUG
RNAcentral lists this ribosomal RNA (484 nucleotides) under uncultured bacterium. RNAcentral describes it as "partial 16S ribosomal RNA". It matches the Rfam family "Bacterial small subunit ribosomal RNA", at positions 30 to 507 of the family's 1533-position model. The record is from RNAcentral.